UUGACGGGGCCCGCACAAGCGGUGGAGCAUGUGGUUUAAUUCGAUGCAACGCGAAGAACCUUACCUGGGCUUGACAUCCCGAGAAUCCCCUGGAAACAGGGGAGUGCCUUUCGGGGAACUCGGAGACAGGUGCUGCAUGGCUGUCGUCAGCUCGUGUCGUGAGAUGUUGGGUUAAGUCCCGCAACGAGCGCAACCCUUGUCUUUAAUUGCCAGCAUUCAGUUGGGCACUUUAAAGAGACUGCCGGUGUUAAGCCGGAGGAAGGUGGGAUGACGUCAAGUCCUCAUGGCCUUUAUGCCCAGGGCUACACACGUGCUACAAUGGGUGGUACAAAGAGAUGCCAACUCGCGAGAGCGCGCCAAUCUCAGAAAGCCAUCCUCAGUUCGGAUUGGAGUCUGCAACUCGACUACGUGAAGUCGGAAUCGCUAGUAAUCGUGGAUCAGAAUGUCACGGUGAAUACGUUCCCGGGUCUU
RNAcentral lists this ribosomal RNA (471 nucleotides) under uncultured Syntrophus sp. RNAcentral's name for it is "bacterial SSU rRNA". It matches the Rfam family "Bacterial small subunit ribosomal RNA", at positions 910 to 1382 of the family's 1533-position model. The record is from RNAcentral. Lineage: Bacteria; Pseudomonadati; Thermodesulfobacteriota; Syntrophia; Syntrophales; Syntrophaceae.